UGGCUCAGGACGAACGCUGGCGGCGUGCUUAACACAUGCAAGUCGAACGGUGAACCUGCUUCGGUGGGGGAUCAGUGGCGAACGGGUGAGUAACACGUGGGCAACCUGCCCUCAGCUCUGGGAUAACUCCAAGAAAUUGGGGCUAAUACCGGAUAUGACUGCUGACCGCAUGGUCUGGUGGUGGAAAGAUUUAUCGGCUGGGGAUGGGCCCGCGGCCUAUCAGCUUGUUGGUGGGGUAGUGGCCUACCAAGGCGACGACGGGUAGCCGGCCUGAGAGGGUGACCGGCCACACUGGGACUGAGACACGGCCCAGACUCCUACGGGAGGCAGCAGUGGGGAAUAUUGCGCAAUGGGCGAAAGCCUGACGCAGCGACGCCGCGUGGGGGAUGACGGCCUUCGGGUUGUAAACCUCUUUCAGCAGGGACGAAGCGAAAGUGACGGUACCUGCAGAAGAAG
RNAcentral lists this ribosomal RNA (456 nucleotides) under Blastococcus saxobsidens. RNAcentral's name for it is "bacterial SSU rRNA". It matches the Rfam family "Bacterial small subunit ribosomal RNA", at positions 20 to 490 of the family's 1533-position model. Lineage: Bacteria; Bacillati; Actinomycetota; Actinomycetes; Geodermatophilales; Geodermatophilaceae. The record is from RNAcentral.